Molecule: long non-coding RNA, 309 nt
Organism: Rhagoletis pomonella (apple maggot)
Lineage: Eukaryota; Metazoa; Arthropoda; Insecta; Diptera; Tephritidae
Exons: 3
Source: RefSeq, a predicted model, not a curated record
GAAUACGCUAGCAAUUCUAAAUAGAAACUGCGCUGGAAAACUCUUCAAGAGAUCUGUGGCGGGAAACAAUUUGAACAGCAAUUUAAACGCUACAGGGUGAUUUCAAAUUUAUUAAGUAACAGUCGAUACCUUGCGAGACCUCUUCAAUCAGAAACGGUCGUACGGAUUUGAUGAAAUUCCGCACACUGAUCGCCUAAAACUGAGACCAAAUUUUUGAAUAUUCUCUACAUUUUUCAAGGGGGUACCACCUGUUUGCAAAGUAAGUUUCCAAUUAAUUCAUAAUUUAAUUGUUUAAAAAUUAAAUUAAAU